This 379-nucleotide ribosomal RNA is filed under the name uncultured bacterium. Its description in RNAcentral is "bacterial SSU rRNA". It matches the Rfam family "Bacterial small subunit ribosomal RNA", at positions 28 to 402 of the family's 1533-position model. The record is from RNAcentral.
GACGAACGCUGGCGGCGUGCUUAACACAUGCAAGUCGUACGGGAACGAGGUAGCAAUACCUUUAGUAAAGUGGCGCACGGGUGCGUAACACGUAAGCAACCUGCCUUUAGGUUUGGAAUAACCCGCGAAAGCGGGACUAAUACCGGAUGAUGCAGCGGAUCCGCAUGGAUAUGUUGUUAAAGUCUAUAUGGCGCCUAAAGAUGGGCUUGCGUCCGAUUAGCUAGUUGGUAGGGUAACGGCUUACCAAGGCAACGAUCGGUAGCUGGUCUGUGAGGAUGAUCAGCCACACUGGAACUGAGACACGGUCCAGACUCCUACGGGAGGCAGCAGUGAGGAAUAUUGGGCAAUGCCCGCAAGGGUGACCCAGCAACGCCAGCGU